GUUAUAAUAGUUUAUAAUUAAAACAUUGGUUUUGUAAACCAAAAUAAGAUCCUAUCUUUAUAACU
Molecule: transfer RNA, 65 nt
Rfam family: tRNA
About the family: Transfer RNA (tRNA) molecules are approximately 80 nucleotides in length. Their secondary structure includes four short double-helical elements and three loops (D, anti-codon, and T loops). Further hydrogen bonds mediate the characteristic L-shaped molecular structure. tRNAs have two regions of fundamental functional importance: the anti-codon, which is responsible for specific mRNA codon recognition, and the 3' end, to which the tRNAs corresponding amino acid is attached (by aminoacyl-tRNA synthetases). tRNAs cope with the degeneracy of the genetic code in two manners: having more than one tRNA (with a specific anti-codon) for a particular amino acid; and 'wobble' base-pairing, i.e. permitting non-standard base-pairing at the 3rd anti-codon position.